This is an RNA transcript of Triticum aestivum (bread wheat), 1372 nucleotides long. It is a transcript of the gene named myelin transcription factor 1, with no coding region annotated. The transcript is spliced from 6 exons. NCBI's taxonomy places the organism in Eukaryota, Viridiplantae, Streptophyta, Magnoliopsida, Poales, Poaceae. The record is from RefSeq and is a predicted model, not a curated record.
GCCUACACAGCCCUGCCUCCUCCUACGCUGUCUUCUGCUUCGUCCAGCAUAACCCCCAAAACCACCUCACCCGACAGAACAGGCGGCGGCGGCGGCGGAAUCGGGCGAGAUGAUCAAGAGGCGCUACUUCAGGCAAGACCACGGCGACAAUAGCGCCUCCUCGUCCUCCUCCUCUUCGGGUUCUGAUUCGGACCGCGACCCCGCGGAAGAAGAGGUCUCGGAGGAGGAAGUAGAAGGGGAGCAAGAAAAAGAAGAAGAAGAUGAUGAUGAAGAAGCGGAGGUGGAGUCGGGGGAAGAACAGGAAAAGGAAGUAGAUGAGCAGGCCGAAGAUGAGGGUUCAGGAUACCAAAGUGAGGACAGCUCUGGACAUCAUGUUGAUAGUCCUUGUGCAGGUUUACUUUCAGAUGAGAACAGCAGUCUGGUGUAUGAACAAUACCAAGCAAUCAGGUUGCCUGCUAAGAAAGCAUCAAGUGGUGAUGCUGAUUCUGCCGAAGGUGCUGUUAACAAGGAUGACACUGUUGAGGUCGAUUUCAAUAACUACAUUCUGAAGUGCAAAUCUGUGUAUAAGUGCAAGCUUUGUCCCAGAAUCAUGUGCUUAAGUGAGGAGAUGGUCAGGGUACAUCUUGAAUCAAAGAGACAUGCUCGAUCAAAGAAACUACUGGGAGAAGGUAGGCUUAAGAUGGUGCUCAACAGUGAUGGUGAGCUGGAGGAAGAGGCAGAGACACAUGCUGAACGACAUGCCCGAACUAUAGCUCUUGCUCAGCAAGUACAAAAGCCCAAGAAGGAUUCAGGCAGGCAGCGACAAAAUCGGAGAAGACAGAAGGUAUGGGAUCACAUCCUCCAUAGUUGUAUUAGCAUCUAGGCACAAUACACAUCGAAGGCUUUUAGGCGCCAUAUUAAAAGGCAGACUGGACUGCGCUGAAAUGAUCUCCAGCAGCAUGUCAUCAUGGAGGUUACAGUAAGAGGUCGCAGAAUCGUCUCAAGGACAAAGAUCAGAGACACAGCUCUGGAAAGGAAGGUGCAAGGCCGAACAAUGGAACUGCUGAUAAGAAAAUGCCGAAUGUUGAAACUGCUGCUAAGAAAAUGCCGAAUCUUGAAACUGCUGCUAAGAAAAGGCGCAAGACUGAAAAAUAAGUCGGUGCUGCAGAAAUAUUUCUUGCGUGUCAUUUCUUCCUAUAUUGUUGUAAUUUUUAGGAGCUUUCUGCGGUUUUACUGUUUCUGGUUUGCUUCUUUAAGUGUAGUUCAUGAAAGCUGAGAGAUUAAAUUGAAAGGAAAGACGACAACUAGAAAGUGGACAUUUAAUCGUGCAUGCAACUUGUUAUAAGUUUGCUACUCCCAGUAAUUUGUAGGGUUUGACACGGUUGAAGUUUCA